This 268-nucleotide unclassified non-coding RNA is filed under the name Hevea brasiliensis (rubber tree). Lineage: Eukaryota; Viridiplantae; Streptophyta; Magnoliopsida; Malpighiales; Euphorbiaceae. The record is from RNAcentral.
GUGAACUGCAAGAGUUCGCCAAUCAUGCAUUUAGUCUUCGGUGCAUCCUGGAAUGUCUCACAUCAGGUGGGGUUCCAGCUGAAGAAAUAGAAAAGACUGGCAUUAUGUCUUCAAGAAGUGAGGAUGCUAAUUCAAUGUCAAAGGAUAUUUCAUUUUCUGAAAAUUCAGGGGAUGCCCCUAAAGAUAUAUCUGAGCUAAAUAAUGAAGAUUUGCUAAAUUCUGAAACACCCAAAUUGUCUAAGGAUGAAGAAACUCUAUCAGGAAAAAG